Molecule: ribosomal RNA, 253 nt
Filed under: uncultured bacterium
Lineage: Bacteria
Description: partial 16S ribosomal RNA
Rfam family: Bacterial small subunit ribosomal RNA
Source: RNAcentral
UACAGAGACUGCAAGCGUUAUUCGGAUUCACUGGGCGUAAAGGGUGCGCAGGCGGCCAUGUGUGUGAGGCGUGAAAGCCCGGGGCUUAACCCCGGAAUUGCACCUCAAACUACAUGGCUAGAGCAUUGGAGAGGGUAGCAGAAUUCACGGUGUAGCAGUGAAAUGCGUAGAUAUCGGUAGGAACACCAGUGGCGAAGGCGGUCUCCUGGGACGUUCUUGACGCUGAGGCGCGAAAGCUGGGGGAGCGAACGGG